ACAAUUUCUGAUGUAUAUUUUUAUUAUUUUUAACGAAGUUUUCACAUGUGGAGUGUAUUUGCUGUUGGCUCACUCGUAACGAUGUUUUCUUGGCCUUUCUGCAUCCCUGGGUGGAGGGGAGGAUUUAGUCGGGGCCAAUUUGGGGGCAGCUCUCCAUUCCUCGCAGUGACUGCUACCUGGGUUUUGGAAGCAGUUUAUUGCAGGGACGUGCUCGGUGUGGCAGCACCCUCGCCCGUCCCCUCGCAUUCCUGUGCCAGCAAGUAAAGACCUGCUGCCCGCCUUGUAGAACUAGCUUGUAAACCAGCAAGGGAAGAUUUCAGAGCUCUUGCUGAAUUUGAGCGAUUCUGGAAAUUCGGCUAGGAGUGGGAAAAACUUCCUUAAUGAAAGGAAAUAGGACCUGUAACCAAAUCCAGGAUAAAAGUAAAAGCACCCAGGCAGAAAGAGGGUCACACAGACACCAAGUUAAGAGGCUGGG
Molecule: long non-coding RNA, 475 nt
Organism: Balaenoptera musculus (blue whale)
Lineage: Eukaryota; Metazoa; Chordata; Mammalia; Artiodactyla; Balaenopteridae
Exons: 3
Source: RefSeq, a predicted model, not a curated record